Bufo bufo (common toad) is the source of this 386-nucleotide long non-coding RNA. RefSeq lists it as uncharacterized. The record is from RefSeq and is a predicted model, not a curated record. NCBI's taxonomy places the organism in Eukaryota, Metazoa, Chordata, Amphibia, Anura, Bufonidae. The transcript is spliced from 3 exons.
UCAGGGACCCAAGCAAAGCAGCAGAGGUUGGAGAGGGAAGGAGCCAGGAGCCAGCAUCAGGAAGCAGGUGUCCCCUGCUACUUGCUACUUCUUGUCUCCUUGUUAAGAGAACCUGACUGACCAUUCUUCAUCGAAGUAAACUCUCAAGCAUACAGCCAUAUUUUACAUCAGUGUCUGAUCAGUUCAUUCAUCAUUGAUCCCAAACAUGGGGGGACUGGCCAUAGACCCUACAGGGAAAUUUACCAAUGGGCGAAUGCCCAGAGGACCACCCAAACCCUUUUGGCUACUAGCCAGUCCCCAAAUGCAUGAACGGAAGAAGAGAGAAAGAAAAAGAAAAAACGUGGGGGAAGGGAAUAAUCCCAAUUCUAUUGUAUUUACUAUCAUCC